CCUCUCUCUCUCUCUCUCGCGCAAAACCCUCCCCACCCUUGCCGACCCGCCGACCCGACCCGACGCCAGCGGCGCCGUCGCUCUUCCUCCGGCCACGACCCGGCCCUCCCCGAGGUCGCCUCGAGCCGCCCAGCCGCUCCCUGCCACCGCCUUGCCCCGCCGCUGCCCCCAGAUGGAGAUCGAAGACACCCCAGCUAGGUGAACCCGACCCGACCGGAAAACCAUUUUUCCGGCGUUGCAUGGGCCGAUCGUCCCCAUUUUCGUGAUCUCCUCCUCAUGCUGAUCAUCCCCAUACGCUCCGGAUUAAUCCAACUUCAACGCUUGAUCUAGGACGAUCUAGGCCAAACCAGACUUAGCUCCAGGUUAUCGACGGAUUGAUUUGGCGGACAAUUCGGGAAAAUUGUUGUUUUAGCUGUUAAGAAGACGCAGCUGGAUUAGAGGUGAGUAAACCUCACGUGGUUCAUAUUACGAACCGAAUAAAUUUAAUUACUUUAUUUUUAUCGCAAUUGUGUGAAAAUAUUUGUGGAAUAAAUAUUUGUUUUAAAUCAUAUGGACUUGAUCAACUACGGUCCAUAGGUAAGUAAAAUGAUUUCAUUUAUACAAAUGAAUUUCACGGUUUUUAUGCUUGAACUAUAGUUGGUAUUAGUGGUCAUCCCUGAGCGGAUGAUU
This is a long non-coding RNA of Rosa rugosa (rugosa rose), 669 nucleotides long. RefSeq lists it as uncharacterized. The record is from RefSeq and is a predicted model, not a curated record. The transcript is spliced from 3 exons. Lineage: Eukaryota; Viridiplantae; Streptophyta; Magnoliopsida; Rosales; Rosaceae.